RNAcentral lists this transfer RNA (73 nucleotides) under Flavobacteriales bacterium. RNAcentral's name for it is "tRNA-Arg(ccg)". It matches the Rfam family "tRNA". From Rfam's summary of the family: Transfer RNA (tRNA) molecules are approximately 80 nucleotides in length. Their secondary structure includes four short double-helical elements and three loops (D, anti-codon, and T loops). The record is from RNAcentral. Lineage: Bacteria; Pseudomonadati; Bacteroidota; Flavobacteriia; Flavobacteriales.
GGCUCCGUAGUACAAUGGAUAGUGCGUGGGUUUCCGGUACCCAAAAUCUAGGUUCGAUUCCUAGCGGAGCUAC